This is a long non-coding RNA of Oncorhynchus keta (chum salmon), 596 nucleotides long. RefSeq lists it as uncharacterized. NCBI's taxonomy places the organism in Eukaryota, Metazoa, Chordata, Actinopteri, Salmoniformes, Salmonidae. The transcript has 3 exons. The record is from RefSeq and is a predicted model, not a curated record.
UAUAAGAACUUUGUACUUUUUUAAAUAACCAUGGAGUAGUCUUUGUGUCUCUGAAUAACUGGUUAUCAAUAUAUAGUUUAUCAACGACGAGAGCUUCUCGUUUCCCUUUUAAUAUAUUUUCCUUGACAAUUGGAUACAGAACUUUACACCGUUCUGCAAUUUCCUUUGGGAACUGAUCAUUCAUGCCAAUUUUGGUUCCAGCAAGUAUUUUACCCAGGCCGUUAACCAUUAUUUUAUAUUUGCCCUCUCUGUCCGAAGCGGUGUACAGGUUCGAGUGGGAUUGUGUCGAUAGCUUUGCGUGGAAUCUGAAGCACUGUAAGGAGGAACUCUCAAACUACAGAUUCAGGAACUUCUCCUUCUUUCUCUUGGAUACCAUAUAGGAGUUGGCAAGACAACACAGACAGAUCUGGGACCAGGCUACCCUACUGUACUACGAGACCCACCUUCUUAUGGCUCUCCUUGAGUAAACCUACAAGACACAUACCUUGGAGUGGAACUCGUCAAUGGGCACUUGAUGGGUGCUGAUGUCCCUGGUGUCGACCUUGACGUGGCUGAGCCCCUGCUCCCUGAACUGCAGCUCCGGCUUGGUGUUGGCC